UUUUCCCGGCUCCGCCCAUUCC
This 22-nucleotide microRNA is filed under the name Picea abies (Norway spruce). RNAcentral describes it as "pab-miR482p". Its record names the gene pab-miR482p. Lineage: Eukaryota; Viridiplantae; Streptophyta; Pinopsida; Pinales; Pinaceae. The record is from miRBase by way of RNAcentral.